CGAAGUAUAGCAUAUAUAAUGCUUUUUACUUACACUAAAAAUAAAGUUAAACAACUUACUUCGC
RNAcentral lists this transfer RNA (64 nucleotides) under Pheretima iizukai. RNAcentral describes it as "tRNA-Val". The record is from RNAcentral. Lineage: Eukaryota; Metazoa; Annelida; Clitellata; Crassiclitellata; Megascolecidae.